Long non-coding RNA from Oncorhynchus tshawytscha (Chinook salmon), 566 nucleotides. The record is from Ensembl. NCBI's taxonomy places the organism in Eukaryota, Metazoa, Chordata, Actinopteri, Salmoniformes, Salmonidae.
UGUGUGUGUGUGUGUGUGUGUGUGUGUGUGUGUUAUGGGGGUAGGGUGGAGAGGUGUGUGUGUGUGUGUGUUAUGGGGGUAGGGUGGAGAGGUGUGUGUGUGUGUGUGUUAUGGGGGUAGGGUGGAGAGGUGUGUGUGUGUGUGUGUGUUAUGGGGGUAGGGUGGAGAGGUGUGUGUGUGUGUUAUGGGGGUAGGGUGUAGAGGUGUGUGUGUGUGUGUGUUUGUUAUGGGGGUAGGGUGUAGAGGUGUGUGUGUGUGUGUGUUUGUUAUGGGGGUAGGGUGUAGAGGUGUGUGUGUGUGUGUGUGUUAUGGGGGUAGGGUGUAGAGGUGUGUGUGUGUGUGUGUGUGUUAUGGGGGUAGGGUGUAGAGGUGUGUGUGUGUGUGUUAUGGGGGUAGGGUGGAGAGGUGUGUGUGUGUGUGUUAUGGGGGUAGGGUGGAGAGGUGUGUGUGUGUGUGUGUUAUGGGGGUAGGGUGUAGAGGUGUGUGUGUGUGUUAUGGGGGUAGGGUGGAGAGGUGUGUGUGUGUUAUGGGGGUAGGGUGUAGAGGUGUGUGUGUGUGUGUGUGUG